This 497-nucleotide ribosomal RNA is filed under the name uncultured bacterium. RNAcentral describes it as "partial 16S ribosomal RNA". It matches the Rfam family "Bacterial small subunit ribosomal RNA", at positions 28 to 507 of the family's 1533-position model. The record is from RNAcentral.
GAUGAACGCUGGCGGCGUGCCUAAUACAUGCAAGUCGAGCGAACAGAUGAGGAGCUUGCUCCUCUGACGUUAGCGGCGGACGGGUGAGUAACACGUGGAUAACCUACCUAUAAGACUGGGAUAACUUCGGGAAACCGGAGCUAAUACCGGAUAAUAUAUUGAACCGCAUGGUUCAAUAGUGAAAGACGGUUUUGCUGUCACUUAUAGAUGGAUCCGCGCCGCAUUAGCUAGUUGGUAAGGUAACGGCUUACCAAGGCAACGAUGCGUAGCCGACCUGAGAGGGUGAUCGGCCACACUGGAACUGAGACACGGUCCAGACUCCUACGGGAGUCAGCAGUAGGGAAUCUUCCGCAAUGGGCGAAAGCCUGACGGAGCAACGCCGCGUGAGUGAUGAAGGUCUUCGGAUCGUAAAACUCUGUUAUUAGGGAAGAACAAAUGUGUAAGUAACUAUGCACGUCUUGACGGUACCUAAUCAGAAAGCCACGGCUAACUACGUG